This 460-nucleotide ribosomal RNA is filed under the name uncultured bacterium. Its description in RNAcentral is "partial 16S ribosomal RNA". It matches the Rfam family "Bacterial small subunit ribosomal RNA", at positions 338 to 795 of the family's 1533-position model. The record is from RNAcentral.
CCUACGGGCGGCAGCAGUGAGGCAUAUUGGUCAAUGGGCGGAAGCCUGAACCAGCCAAGUAGCGUGCAGGAUGACGGCCCUACGGGUUGUAAACUGCUUUUAUACGGGAAUAACGCGCCUUACGUGUAGGGCUUUGCAUGUACCGUAUGAAUAAGGACCGGCUAAUUCCGUGCCAGCAGCCGCGGUAAUACGGAGGGUCCGGGCGUUAUCCGGAUUGAUUGGGUUUAAAGGGAGCGUAGGCGGCAUGUCAAGCGUGCUGUGAAAUGUCCGGGCUCAACCCGGGCCUUGCAGCGGGGACUGGCGUGCUUGAGUCCGCGGAAGGCAGGCGGAAGUCGUCGUGUAGCGGUGAAAUGCUUAGAUAUGACGAAGAACCCCGAUUGCGAAGGCAGCUUGCUGCAGCGGAACUGACGCUGAUGCUCGAAAGCGCGGGUAUCGAACAGGAGUAGAUACCCCAGUAGUC